The sequence is a non-coding RNA, 97 nucleotides long. It matches the Rfam family "Bacterial small signal recognition particle RNA". From Rfam's summary of the family: The signal recognition particle (SRP) is a universally conserved ribonucleoprotein involved in the co-translational targeting of proteins to membranes. Archaeal SRP consists of a 7S RNA and homologues of the eukaryotic SRP19 and SRP54 proteins. In most bacteria, the SRP consists of a 4.5S RNA and the Ffh protein (a homologue of the eukaryotic SRP54 protein). The record is from Rfam.
GAGCCGGACUUACGCGAUUGUAACGCCCAAACUUUGUCAGGGCCGGAAGGCAGCAGCAAUACGGGAUGCUUGCAAUAGGCGUGAACUCCGGUUCACC